RNAcentral lists this ribosomal RNA (508 nucleotides) under uncultured bacterium. Its description in RNAcentral is "partial 16S ribosomal RNA". It matches the Rfam family "Bacterial small subunit ribosomal RNA", at positions 28 to 523 of the family's 1533-position model. The record is from RNAcentral.
GAUGAACGCUAGCGGCAGGCUUAUUACAUGCAAGUCGAGGGGCAGCAGGUCCCGCAGCAAUGCGGGAUGCUGGCGACCGGCAAACGGGUGCGGAACACGUACAGAACCCUCCUUUAAGUGGGGAAUAGCCCAGGGAAACCCGGAUUAAUACCCCGUAACAUAAUGAAGUGGCAUCACUUUAUUAUUAUAGCAGCAAUGCGCUUGAAGAUGGCUGUGCGGCUGAUUAGGUAGUUGGCGGGGUAACGGCCCACCAAGCCUACGAUCAGUAACUGGUGUGAGAGCCCGACCAGUCACACGGGCACUGAGACACGGGCCCGACUCCUACGGGAGGCAGCAGUAAGGAAUAUUGGGCAAUGGACGCAAGUCUGACCCGGCCAUGCCGCGUGGAGGAUGAAGGUCCUCUGGAUUGUAAACUUCUUUUAUCUGGGAAGAAAUCUAUUUUUUCUAAAGUAGUUGACGGUACCAGAUGAAUAAGCACCGGCUAACUCCGUGCCAGCAGCCGCCGCCG